AUGGUUCAUACUGACCUUAAUCAUUCAGCUUGGUUGAUGUUGAAUGUCAUGCCUGAUGAGAGAGCACUAAGGAUUGGACCUGCUCAUUGUGACAUAGUCCAUCUUACAGAAACUGCAGCUAACAUAACAGGCAACAUGAUGGGAGGUUCGUCCAUAAUUCCAGUGUGUGAAGGCAUAGUAAUGGAUGGCGAAAUAAAGGCUGCGCGGAGCAUACUGAAGCUCCCAGUUUUAUCUGAAGAAAUAUCAGUUUACGAACUAGUCGCGCUACUGAUGGGAGAUAACAAUAAGGAGUUGGGAUCAAAUUGCGAGGACGCUGUGAGAACUCAGAGAGCAUUUGCAAUGCUUUAUCUUUCAAUUGCACUUGCUCCUGGGCAGAAAAAAACAUGUGUGAACCGAAGCUCUUAUAUGAUGUUGAUAAUGCAUGCUGACGUGACGGAUGUCAAUUGGGGGAAAUAUGCCAUAGAUGAGAUAGUAAGUGGCGCGAGGAAACUGAACAGGAAUAACCCACUGCUCAACAUAACUUUACAUGUAUGCCCUGCAAUACUUGAGGUAAUAUAUGAAAAACGAGAAAUCUAA
RNAcentral lists this ribosomal RNA (576 nucleotides) under Triticum aestivum (bread wheat). RNAcentral's name for it is "partial small subunit ribosomal RNA". Lineage: Eukaryota; Viridiplantae; Streptophyta; Magnoliopsida; Poales; Poaceae. The record is from RNAcentral.